GCGCGCGUAGCUCAGUGGCAGAGCAUCUGUUUGACGUACAGAAGGUCAGAGGUUCGAAUCCUCUCGCGCGCACCA
Molecule: transfer RNA, 75 nt
Filed under: Candidatus Berkelbacteria bacterium
Lineage: Bacteria; Candidatus Berkelbacteria
Description: tRNA-Val
Rfam family: tRNA
About the family: Transfer RNA (tRNA) molecules are approximately 80 nucleotides in length. Their secondary structure includes four short double-helical elements and three loops (D, anti-codon, and T loops). Further hydrogen bonds mediate the characteristic L-shaped molecular structure. tRNAs have two regions of fundamental functional importance: the anti-codon, which is responsible for specific mRNA codon recognition, and the 3' end, to which the tRNAs corresponding amino acid is attached (by aminoacyl-tRNA synthetases). tRNAs cope with the degeneracy of the genetic code in two manners: having more than one tRNA (with a specific anti-codon) for a particular amino acid; and 'wobble' base-pairing, i.e. permitting non-standard base-pairing at the 3rd anti-codon position.
Source: RNAcentral